CUUACGGGCUGCAGCAGUGGGGAAUAUUGCACAAUGGGCGAAAGCCUGAUGCAGCAACGCCGCGUGAGCGAUGAAGGCCUUCGGGUCGUAAAGCUCUGUCAUCAAGGAAGAUAAUGACGGGACUUGAGGAGGAAGCCCCGGCUAACUACGUGCCAGCAGCCGCGGUAAUACGUAAGGGGCUAGCGUUAUCCGGAAUUACUGGGCGUAAAGGGUGCGUAGGUGGUUUUUUAAGUCAAAAGUGAAAGGCUACGGCUCAACCGUAGUAAGCUUUUGAAACUAGAGAACUUGAGUGCAGGAGAGGAGAGUAGAAUUCCUAGUGUAGCGGUGAAAUGCGUAGAUAUUAGGAGGAAUACCAGUAGCGAAGGCGGCUCUCUGGACUGUAACUGACACUGAGGCACGAAAGCGUGGGGAGCAAACAGGAUUAGAUACCCCCGUAGUC
This 439-nucleotide ribosomal RNA is filed under the name uncultured bacterium. RNAcentral's name for it is "bacterial SSU rRNA". It matches the Rfam family "Bacterial small subunit ribosomal RNA", at positions 338 to 795 of the family's 1533-position model. The record is from RNAcentral.